GAUAAGCAAAGAAUAUUUUGUCAUUUUCAUCAUCUUGAUUCUGUGCUAUAAAAUGCAGCUUUAAGAUGAAACGAAGGGGUCGUAUUUAAAUAACCAGCAAGCUUGAAGAAACAACGAACUAUGGCUCAGCAACUAAGUCAGGUAUAUGCUGCAAUCUGCAUGCCCUAAUAAUAUUAUUAUGAAUACUGAUUGUUUAUUCUCAGAUUGGUUUUGCUCUUAACUUUUCAGAAGGGAUGGAUAUAUGUGCAUGCAUCCGAAUUCCAAUAUGCAGAACCGAAGUGCUGGACUAUAGUCAAGUAAGUCCAGACUGAAUAUAAUUAAGCUGAAUCCCUAGAUAAGCUUGUAGUUCAAAAUUUGUUUGCAGUAGAAUCAGGGCGGAUCUAGCAUGGGAUUUCUGGGGGCACCAAGCAAAUUUUCAGAUAAUAUCUAUAUGUUUUCAAAUUUUCUGGGGGCACUUCUAUAAAUUUGUAAAAUUUAGAUUGGUGAAAAGGUAUCAAAAACUUUUUUAGGGGGGCACGUGUCCCCCGUGCUCCUUACUAGAUUCGCCCCUGAGUAGAAUACUAAUCUACUGAUGCAAUACACUUAUCUGACAUGAAUAAUAAUGAGUUUGCUUGUAGUUACGACGGAUCAGCAGAACUAGUGCACUCAUGGAAGCUAGAGGUAAAGGGAAAUUGUAAAGCAAGCCUGCUUCCAAAAGAUAAAACUUAUGCUGCAUAUUUUAUGGUUAUGCUGAGGAAGGACAGCGUAUUUACAACUCCAAGUUAUCUCCAAAUAACUCUCCCAUCUGAGUAACCGCAAGUGAAGUGUAUAGAACUGAAAGACUCCCCUAAAGAAAAAACCAUUAGGCUUCAACUUGGAGAAGAAUUUAACACCAGCUCUUUAAAGGAUGGAGAUAUCGAGUUUUCGCUCUAUGGGAAUGACCGGGCCGGUAAGAAAGGUUUGGUUGUCUAUGGAGUUCUUUUCGCACCUGUAGAAGACUGAUUGUUCACCAGAUAACCAGAGCAUGGUUAGUAUCAGUACUGAAUGCAUUAGCAUUUUCAGUAACAAGCAAAGCAGCUGUGAUAUAGCUUGUAUUGUAUCAUAUUUGACAAUAAAAAUCUUGUUUUAAAUUUGUAAUGAUGAUAAUUAAAAGCACAGAUAUGUCUUAAGAUAGUAUUACAA
RNAcentral lists this long non-coding RNA (1161 nucleotides) under Daucus carota (carrot). Its description in RNAcentral is "long non-coding RNA (DCAR_LNC000720)". Lineage: Eukaryota; Viridiplantae; Streptophyta; Magnoliopsida; Apiales; Apiaceae. The record is from RNAcentral.